This is a non-coding RNA of Phrynosoma platyrhinos (Desert horned lizard), 72 nucleotides long. Lineage: Eukaryota; Metazoa; Chordata; Lepidosauria; Squamata; Phrynosomatidae. The record is from the annotation of a GenBank genome assembly.
UGCAGCAUGGUGUAAUGGUUUGAGUGUAAGACUAGGACUCUGGAGAUUGGGGUUUGAGUCCCUGCUCUGCCA